UACGUAGGGGCGAGCGUUACCCGGAAUCACUGGGCGUAAAGGGAGCGUAGGUGGCCUGACAUGUCGACUGUGAAAACCCGGAGCUCAACUCCGGACUUGCAGUUGAAACUGCCAGGCUUGAGGACGGUAGAGGAAGACGGAACUGCCAGUGUAGGGGUAAAAUCCUUAGAUAUUGGCAGGAACGCCGGUGACGAAGGUGGUUUUCUGGGCCGGUUCUGACACUGAUGCUCGAAAGCCAGGGGAGCGAACGGGAUUAGAUACCCGGGUAGUCCCUGAGCGGGGCUGG
This 286-nucleotide ribosomal RNA is filed under the name uncultured prokaryote. Its description in RNAcentral is "partial 16S ribosomal RNA". It matches the Rfam family "Bacterial small subunit ribosomal RNA", at positions 524 to 815 of the family's 1533-position model. The record is from RNAcentral.